Molecule: long non-coding RNA, 1062 nt
Organism: Spea bombifrons (plains spadefoot toad)
Lineage: Eukaryota; Metazoa; Chordata; Amphibia; Anura; Pelobatidae
Exons: 2
Source: RefSeq, a predicted model, not a curated record
GUUUUUUUUUUACCAAACCCCGUUACCGGAAGGAGGAAGGGGUCGCGACUACAACCCCGCGCUUUGACAAGAGCGUAUUAAGAAGGCUGUGUCGUGAUACCAGAAGAAGAAGAAGAGUCCCCGGACCUCUCCUAAUGACCCCCUAGAAGGUGAAAGACACUGCCAGCCCACCCCGAAACGGGGGCGAGAAGCCGGUAUUUAUAGUUGUCUGAGAGCGGCCAUUUUGGAUCGUUGGUUACGAUGGAACGCGAUGCUUUGGGGUUCUGUAACGGGGGGAUCCUAAUAAGUUGGUGGAGGGUUCUGUGUCCUCAAAUGGGACGCUCUUUGAAAUUGGGGUGACUUUAUGUGGGGGAUAUGUCAGUUCUUUGGCACUUCAACAAAAAACGAUGGAAUCUACCUCAAUGUGGACAAGCAAGCCUACUUGAUACUGUUACAACCUUUGGGUUACAAUGUAUGACACCGGUGUGCCCCUAAACCGCUAUUCCUCACCUCCUCCGACUGGUGAUUCCGCAAAUCACCCCGACGUACCGGACGUAAACGGUCGGAGAAAGCGCCUCGCGCGGUUGGAGGCAUCUCACAGGCUUCUGUAGACUUGCUGAUCUUGUUUACCAACCUCCCCAAUCCCAUGCAAUAUCUACGCGGUGCUACAGAACUAUAAUCCAUAGUUAGAACGAGUUACAUAACAACUCGAAAAGUAUAUGCUGUGGUAACGACACGUCGGUAAAAUUCCAAAGAAUGAUGGAGGUCCGUAGACCCUACUGAGACCACCAAGUCUGAUUGUUGGCUUCUGGAACCUCGAGAACCCAACCAGAGUCACCAGGAAGGGGAAUUACUUAAAUUACUUACUACUUAUCAGAACGUAAGCACUAAGGCAGAGGGAUGUGGUUUUGCCAAGUUUCUAUAUAUAUUUACGUGAAGAUUUUUUUUUGUAUUGUUCCUCUUGACGUCAAACGUGAAAAAAAAGAAAUACAAAGAUUUUGAGCUUUGAGAUUUGUGUUGAUUCAUUUAAGUGUAAAAUUAAUAAAAAGUUAAUAAAGUAAUAAUGUUUCUUUUUUUAAAAAA